This 1554-nucleotide ribosomal RNA is filed under the name Streptococcus thermophilus. RNAcentral's name for it is "bacterial SSU rRNA". It matches the Rfam family "Bacterial small subunit ribosomal RNA". The record is from RNAcentral. Lineage: Bacteria; Bacillati; Bacillota; Bacilli; Lactobacillales; Streptococcaceae.
UUAAUGAGAGUUUGAUCCUGGCUCAGGACGAACGCUGGCGGCGUGCCUAAUACAUGCAAGUAGAACGCUGAAGAGAGGAGCUUGCUCUUCUUGGAUGAGUUGCGAACGGGUGAGUAACGCGUAGGUAACCUGCCUUGUAGCGGGGGAUAACUAUUGGAAACGAUAGCUAAUACCGCAUAACAAUGGAUGACACAUGUCAUUUAUUUGAAAGGGGCAAUUGCUCCACUACAAGAUGGACCUGCGUUGUAUUAGCUAGUAGGUGAGGUAAUGGCUCACCUAGGCGACGAUACAUAGCCGACCUGAGAGGGUGAUCGGCCACACUGGGACUGAGACACGGCCCAGACUCCUACGGGAGGCAGCAGUAGGGAAUCUUCGGCAAUGGGGGCAACCCUGACCGAGCAACGCCGCGUGAGUGAAGAAGGUUUUCGGAUCGUAAAGCUCUGUUGUAAGUCAAGAACGGGUGUGAGAGUGGAAAGUUCACACUGUGACGGUAGCUUACCAGAAAGGGACGGCUAACUACGUGCCAGCAGCCGCGGUAAUACGUAGGUCCCGAGCGUUGUCCGGAUUUAUUGGGCGUAAAGCGAGCGCAGGCGGUUUGAUAAGUCUGAAGUUAAAGGCUGUGGCUCAACCAUAGUUCGCUUUGGAAACUGUCAAACUUGAGUGCAGAAGGGGAGAGUGGAAUUCCAUGUGUAGCGGUGAAAUGCGUAGAUAUAUGGAGGAACACCGGUGGCGAAAGCGGCUCUCUGGUCUGUAACUGACGCUGAGGCUCGAAAGCGUGGGGAGCGAACAGGAUUAGAUACCCUGGUAGUCCACGCCGUAAACGAUGAGUGCUAGGUGUUGGAUCCUUUCCGGGAUUCAGUGCCGCAGCUAACGCAUUAAGCACUCCGCCUGGGGAGUACGACCGCAAGGUUGAAACUCAAAGGAAUUGACGGGGCCCGCACAAGCGGUGGAGCAUGUGGUUUAAUUCGAAGCAACGCGAAGAACCUUACCAGGUCUUGACAUCCCGAUGCUAUUUCUAGAGAUAGAAAGUUACUUCGGUACAUCGGUGACAGGUGGUGCAUGGUUGUCGUCAGCUCGUGUCGUGAGAUGUUGGGUUAAGUCCCGCAACGAGCGCAACCCCUAUUGUUAGUUGCCAUCAUUCAGUUGGGCACUCUAGCGAGACUGCCGGUAAUAAACCGGAGGAAGGUGGGGAUGACGUCAAAUCAUCAUGCCCCUUAUGACCUGGGCUACACACGUGCUACAAUGGUUGGUACAACGAGUUGCGAGUCGGUGACGGCGAGCUAAUCUCUUAAAGCCAAUCUCAGUUCGGAUUGUAGGCUGCAACUCGCCUACAUGAAGUCGGAAUCGCUAGUAAUCGCGGAUCAGCACGCCGCGGUGAAUACGUUCCCGGGCCUUGUACACACCGCCCGUCACACCACGAGAGUUUGUAACACCCGAAGUCGGUGAGGUAACCUUUUGGAGCCAGCCGCCUAAGGUGGGACAGAUGAUUGGGGUGAAGUCGUAACAAGGUAGCCGUAUCGGAAGGUGCGGCUGGAUCACCUCCUUUCUAAGGAA